RNAcentral lists this ribosomal RNA (460 nucleotides) under uncultured bacterium. RNAcentral describes it as "partial 16S ribosomal RNA". It matches the Rfam family "Bacterial small subunit ribosomal RNA", at positions 338 to 795 of the family's 1533-position model. The record is from RNAcentral.
CCUACGGGUGGCAGCAGUGAGGAAUAUUUGUCAAUGGACGAGAGUCUGAACCAGCCAAGUAGCGUGAAGGAUGACUGCCCUAUGGGUUGUAAACUUCUUUUAUAAAGGAAUAAAACGAGGCACGUGUGCCUUUUUGCAUGUACUUUAUGAAUAAGGAUCGGCUAAAUCCGCGUCAGCAGCCGCGGUAAUACGGAGGAUCUGAGCGUUAUCCGGCUAUUUUGGGUUUAAAGGGAUCGUAGAUGGGUUGUUAAGUCAGUUGUGAAAGUUCGCGGCUCAACCGUAAAAUUACAAUUGAUACUGGCAGUCUUGAGUACGGUAGAGGUAGGCGGAAUUCGUGGUGUAGCGGUGAAAUGCUUAGAUAUCACGAAGAACUCCGAUAGCGAAGGCAGCUCACUGGACUGCAACUGACACUGAUGCUCGAAAGUGUAGGUAUCAAACGGGAUUAGAUACCCUAGUAGUC